CUUCGGGCACUUGCUGUGGGCAGAUAAAGUGAAUAUGCGAGUCAAUCGCACCAGCGGUGACGAUCUUUCCCUCACCUGCAACGACAUCAGUGCAGCUGCCGACAACCAUUCCUUCUGUUACGCCGUCCAUAACGUCCGGAUUACCUGCUUUUCCGAUACCCACGAUCAUACCCUCCUUGACUCCAAUAUCUGCCUUAUAGAUACCUGUCCAGUCCACGAUGAGAGCGUUUGUCACUACGAGAUCAAGAGUCUCGGCAUCUGUUCUUCCAGUCGCCUGACCCAUUCCCUCGCGCAG
This is a non-coding RNA of Fusarium poae, 295 nucleotides long. Lineage: Eukaryota; Fungi; Ascomycota; Sordariomycetes; Hypocreales; Nectriaceae. The record is from Rfam.